Long non-coding RNA from Equus quagga, 1626 nucleotides. RefSeq lists it as uncharacterized. The record is from RefSeq and is a predicted model, not a curated record. The transcript has 5 exons. NCBI's taxonomy places the organism in Eukaryota, Metazoa, Chordata, Mammalia, Perissodactyla, Equidae.
AGAGCAGUCAAGAUUACUAAUGGCAGGACAGAAAGUAACAGCAACAAAAGGAGAUCGAGGGCCGGGCCGGAGCUGGGAAGACAGCGCUAAUGAGAACACUGAGAUGCAUUCCAGGCGAAAGGGUAACCCAAAAAUGAGCUGGAAUUCCGGACCAGAUCACCUGAUGCCUGAGUUUCUGGGGCUGCUUCCCCCUCUCCAGACGCGGAUACUGAGACUCAAGAGGCCACCCCAGUGUGGACCGCUGGUGCAUGACAGAAUCGGGAUUCUGACCAGAGCUGUCUGGUCCCAGAGCCUGUGCUUGUGACUGUGAUGUGACGCAGGUGAAUCUAGAAAUGGAAUUGCCUAAGGAUUUGGCAGAAGGUGAAAAAGAAGAGCUAAAGAGGAGCAUAGAAGGAGACACUUGGCCUUUGUGCCCAGAGAAGAAAGAGAAUGCCUUUGGGGAGGUUUCGAUCACCAGACGGCCGGCCCUCAGCAACACUGAAGCCCAGAAGUCGGAUUGCCCAGCGACUUAUGGGGAGUGACCCCUUUGUUUCUCUGAAGCGUCUCCUCCUAAUCCCCUUAGCUCUAUAAAAGCCCGCUGCUUUCUGUUCUUGGGGAGACAGACUCCAGCAUACCCGGGCUCCCAUCCACUCAUUUUGGCCAAUUUAAUUAAAUCUUUCUCCAUCUCCAAGCACCAGUGUCUCAGUGUUUGGCUUGCUGUGCAUCGGGCACACAAGCUUGAGAUUAAGAGGUUCAGUAUCGAUUGUUCUUUUUAAUUGCCUGAAACACAAGGCUCAAAUGAUCCUCAGAAGAAGACUGGCUCGCACACAGCCUAGUAGCACACAGCCUCAGUGCUGGACCGCUGUGAAAAAUUCCAAUCCAAUGGUGGCUUGUUUAUUUUAAAUUAUUCAAAAUCAUUUUAAAGCCUUAAAAAUGGAAGUAGUUGCAACUUCAUGUGGUGAAAUAACAUGGGUAUUUGAGAAGAGAAAUGUGAUAUUGUUUAUAAUGAUAAUAAUAUCGGCCACCACGUACUCGCCCUUACCGUGUUCCAGGUUUUCUACUAACUGCUCUGUAUACCUGCUCUUCAACCCAAAUAGUUCUCAGGGUUAGCACAGUGCUUCUCAUUUUCUGCUUGCUGUCUUCAUUUCUACUUUGUUAAUCUUAAUGCAUACACACUCUUUAUCUUAACGCACUUCAAAUUUCUUUUGAAACGAGGCAGCAUUCUGAUCAAUGAAAAUAUUUUGGAGCGAUUUUCUAAAGAGUGAUCGUAAAGGCUUUAGUUUAUCUUAAAUUUUAGAGAAUGGAUGGUUUACCCAGAAGGAAGACAACAGCCGUUCCUGUUAAAUUAUUCUGCUAAUGUUUACUUUGGAAAACGGUGGUAUUUUAUGCAAACGAAAUUGGAAAGCCUCCAUUUGGGCUCUGCAGGGACAAAGGCCUUUCCUGUGACUAAGGAUUGUCUGGUGGAGCUUCUGGAGGAAGGCUUCGUCAAUUCCACACCUGCCCGUGGAUCACACGGGGCAUGUGGGGUGGGUUCUAGAAUGAAGUCUGACUCACUCUUUUUCAAUAUAAAUAAUGUGUAUUCAUAUACAUGUAAUUGUUGCACUUUAUGAACAAUUUAUAUAUGUGUGUGCAUAUAAAUAUACUAUG